Molecule: long non-coding RNA, 1319 nt
Organism: Ictalurus punctatus (channel catfish)
Lineage: Eukaryota; Metazoa; Chordata; Actinopteri; Siluriformes; Ictaluridae
Source: Ensembl
CUCGUCUGAAUUUUGCCAAAGCACACCUUGAUCAUCUUCAAACCUUUGUGAGAAUGUUCUGUGGAUUGAUGAGUCAAAAGUGGAAUUUUGGAAGACAGGGGUUUGAUUACAUCUGGCAUAAACCAAACAAAGAAUUCCACAAAAAGAACAUCAAACCUACAAUUAAGCAUGGUGGUGGAAUGUUAUAUUGUGUGGAUGCUUUGCUGCUUCAGGGCCUAUGCAACAUGCAGUAAUCGAGGGACACAUGAAUUCUGCUCUCUACAAGAAAAUCCUAAAGGAGAAAGUCCGGUAGAGAGAGAUAGUUUGUAUAUAUUGUAACCGUAGUUUUGACAGGUAUAGGUCAAAGGUCAAAAAGAUACACAUUCUAACUCUCUAUAUCUAGAUCAAAGGUCAUGAUCAUAAAAAUAUGAAUAGUUAUGUUAAAUCUGGUUCACAUCCAAAUCGUGACCAUACAUGCUACGGCCAUAUGUUUUCCCACCCCACACAAGUUGCACACUCAUGUUUUUUCUUUUCACAUAGAAUAUGAAACUCUCUGUGAUAGGUCAUAAAAAUAUGUAUAGUCAUGUUAAAUCGGGUUCCCAUGCAUUCCAGACACAUAUGUUCUCAUAACUGGUAUGACCAUGUGUUUUUCCGCCCCCACACACGUUGCACACAUGGUCCUUCUUUUCACAUAGAAUAUGAAACUCUCUGUGGUAGGUCAUUAAAUAUAUAUAUAUAUGUAUAUGUUUAUGUAUAUAGUUAUGUAAAUAUAUAUAGUUAACCCUGAGCAGGGCGUCAACAGCUCCAAAGAUCGUGUCUUAAGUCCGAGGGUUUAGUUAGGAGGUAGAAAAACAUUUAAAGAUGAUGUUUUAAAAGAAACAAGUGUUUCAUCCUUAAUGGUAAAAAAGAAAAAUGGUUGUACUCCAAUAUGAAAUAAAACGGUGGAGACACACUGAGUACACUUCUGUUCCACAGUCUAUAAGGAUCCCCAAUCUUCAUGUAGUGUGGAAAAAUAUAUACACCCUCCGUGACUACGUUACUUAAGGUUUAAACAUUUUUAUUUUGUGAUGGCAGCAAGACAAAACGGUUGUGCAUUUGGUAUGUGGUGAUUUUAGAAUUAGGCCCCAAAUGUCAAAUAUGUUUUGUGUAUGGCUUCGUCAGGCAAAGAUCACGAUGGUAUGGAAAGAGUAUACAAGAGUAAUUGGGGUGAUCUAAUGCUUAGGACUUGUACAGUAUUUCAGCUCGGGAACGCCCCACCAUGGCGUUCAGAGAGGCAUUAUCUAAGGUACACGUAUAUAUAAUAUAGAUCAGAUCACCAGUCUGUCCUUACCCACUCCUGA